Molecule: ribosomal RNA, 120 nt
Filed under: Streptomyces bacillaris
Lineage: Bacteria; Bacillati; Actinomycetota; Actinomycetes; Kitasatosporales; Streptomycetaceae
Description: partial 16S rRNA
Rfam family: Bacterial small subunit ribosomal RNA
Source: RNAcentral
UCUAAUACCGGAUAAUACGCUGUUCCGCAUGGAACGGGGUUGAAAGCUCCGGCGGUGAAGGAUGAGCCCGCGGCCUAUCAGCUUGUUGGUGGGGUAAUGGCCUACCAAGGCGACGACGGG